This 213-nucleotide non-coding RNA is filed under the name alpha proteobacterium BAL199. Lineage: Bacteria; Pseudomonadati; Pseudomonadota; Alphaproteobacteria. The record is from RNAcentral.
GCAACACUCGCGGCCGGUGGUGCCGUCGGAGCGGUCGCGACGACGGCAUAAUAGGGAACACGGUGAAGCGUACCCAACAGGGAGCGAGUCCGUGGCUGCCCCCGCAACUGUGAGCGCUGAGCGUCAUCCACACGGCCACUGGCAUUGCUGGGAAGGCUGGAUGAGACGCCGGGACGCGCGAGCCAGGAGACCUGCCACCGCCCUGAAACCUGU